GCGGAUGUUACUGAAUUAACUGCUAAUACGUAACUAACGUGGUCGAUUUUUGACAAUUUAUGGAUGUGAUCUAGUAAGACGAAGAUUCCUAAACUGUUAGCCAUCUGAUCCACGAACACGGAAAACCAGUUUACGCAAUGGAAAUUAGCAUGGUUCUAGAUUCGGGAGCCCACUCCUUCUGGACCUGGCCAGGGCGGUAUGAACUGGAGCAUACCCCAUUGACUGCACAUGGCUGGAGUGAUACCGCCCCAAUGAGUUGAUGACUAGAAGACUCACGGUGUUAAACCACCCCAAUGGGUUGAUGGCAAGUAGACUUAACCUGGUAAGGUGGUGUCCCUUUGAAUAACAUCCCUGCAAGUUCUCCCUGGACUGGACCUGUGGACGAUUCUCUUCCACGUGGCCGGAGUUUCCAAGACGGUCGGUCCUUUCUUCCUCUGGAAGUGAUCAACUGGAAGGAAUUGUGUUGUGUGGUAGCCCAUAUGGGACUCACCUGGGACAUGGAUACCUGAAGACCGAAGGCUCAACAUUGUUAAUAAAUAUCAUGAGCAGCAGUGGUUUCCUUUGUCUUUUCCAUGUGUGUUCUGCUUUGUUUGUGAGGUUUUGCUGAGUAAUGGUGUUUGUCUGUGACUAUAGCAAAGACGGUCAUUCUUUUUAACUUCAAUAAAUCGGUUUUAACCAAG
Molecule: long non-coding RNA, 680 nt
Organism: Oncorhynchus tshawytscha (Chinook salmon)
Lineage: Eukaryota; Metazoa; Chordata; Actinopteri; Salmoniformes; Salmonidae
Source: Ensembl